GAGUUUGAUCAUGGCUCAGAUUGAACGCUGGCGGCAGGCCUAACACAUGCAAGUCGAGCGGAUGACGGGAGCUUGCUCCUUGAUUCAGCGGCGGACGGGUGAGUAAUGCCUAGGAAUCUGCCUGGUAGUGGGGGACAACGUUUCGAAAGGAACGCUAAUACCGCAUACGUCCUACGGGAGAAAGCAGGGGACCUUCGGGCCUUGCGCUAUCAGAUGAGCCUAGGUCGGAUUAGCUAGUUGGUGGGGUAAUGGCUCACCAAGGCGACGAUCCGUAACUGGUCUGAGAGGAUGAUCAGUCACACUGGAACUGAGACACGGUCCGGACUCCUACGGGAGGCAGCAGUGGGGAAUAUUGGACAAUGGGCGAAAGCCUGAUCCAGCCAUGCCGCGUGUGUGAAGAAGGUCUUCGGAUUGUAAAGCACUUUAAGUUGGGUAGGAAGGGCAGUAAGGUCAAUACCUUGCUGUUUUGACGUUACCGACAGAAUAAG
This 488-nucleotide ribosomal RNA is filed under the name bacterium enrichment culture clone ALO1_GLFRUDD03F5ZPU. RNAcentral describes it as "bacterial SSU rRNA". It matches the Rfam family "Bacterial small subunit ribosomal RNA", at positions 9 to 490 of the family's 1533-position model. The record is from RNAcentral.